ACUCCUACGGGAGGCAGCAGUGGGGAAUAUUGCACAAUGGGGGAAACCCUGAUGCAGCCAUGCCGCGUGUGUGAAGAAGGCCUUCGGGUUGUAAAGCACUUUCAGUAGGGAGGAAGGUAGUGUAGUUAACACCUGCAUUAUUUGACGUUACCUACAGAAGAAGCACCGGCUAACUCCGUGCCAGCAGCCGCGGUAAUACGGAGGGUGCGAGCGUUAAUCGGAAUUACUGGGCGUAAAGCGCAUGCAGGCGGCCUGUUAAGUCAGAUGUGAAAGCCCGGGGCUUAACCUCGGAAUUGCAUUUGAAACUGGCAGGCUAGAGUCUUGUAGAGGGGUUAGAAUUUCAGGUGUAGCGGUGAAAUGCGUAGAGAUCUGAAGGAAUACCAGUGGCGAAGGCGGCCCCCUGGACAAAGACUGACGCUCAGAUGCGAAAGCGUGGGAGCAAACAGGAUUAGAUACCCCUGGUAGCGACUGA
Molecule: ribosomal RNA, 472 nt
Filed under: uncultured bacterium
Lineage: Bacteria
Description: bacterial SSU rRNA
Rfam family: Bacterial small subunit ribosomal RNA
Source: RNAcentral